Molecule: transfer RNA, 73 nt
Organism: Toxocara canis (dog roundworm)
Lineage: Eukaryota; Metazoa; Nematoda; Chromadorea; Rhabditida; Toxocaridae
Rfam family: tRNA
About the family: Transfer RNA (tRNA) molecules are approximately 80 nucleotides in length. Their secondary structure includes four short double-helical elements and three loops (D, anti-codon, and T loops). Further hydrogen bonds mediate the characteristic L-shaped molecular structure. tRNAs have two regions of fundamental functional importance: the anti-codon, which is responsible for specific mRNA codon recognition, and the 3' end, to which the tRNAs corresponding amino acid is attached (by aminoacyl-tRNA synthetases). tRNAs cope with the degeneracy of the genetic code in two manners: having more than one tRNA (with a specific anti-codon) for a particular amino acid; and 'wobble' base-pairing, i.e. permitting non-standard base-pairing at the 3rd anti-codon position.
Source: Rfam
GCUUUCGUAGCUCAGUCGGUAGAGCAUCAGACUUUUAGUCUCAGGGUCGUGGGUUCGAGUCGCACAAAAGGCG